ACGCUCGACACCUACGGAAGGCAGCAGUCGGGAAUAUUGCGCAAUGGAGGAAACUCUGACGCAGUGACGCCGCGUGCAGGAAGAAGGUUUUCGGAUUGUAAACUGCUUUAGACAGGGAAGAAAGAAAUGACAGUACCUGUAGAAUAAGCUCCUGCUAACUACGUGCCAGCAGCCGCGGUAAUCUGAGGCGGGCGUGGCGAAGGC
This 204-nucleotide ribosomal RNA is filed under the name uncultured bacterium. RNAcentral's name for it is "partial 16S ribosomal RNA". It matches the Rfam family "Bacterial small subunit ribosomal RNA", at positions 326 to 538 of the family's 1533-position model. The record is from RNAcentral.